GACGUAGGAGGCGAGCGUUGUCCGGAAUUAUUGGGCGUAAAGAGCUCGUAGGCGGUCUGUCGCGUCGGUCGUGAAAACUUGGGGCUUAACCCUGAGCUUGCGGUCGAUACGGGCAUGACUGGAGUUCGGCAGGGGAGACUGGAAUUCCUGGUGUAGCGGUGAAAUGCGCAGAUAUCAGGAGGAACACCGGUGGCGAAGGCGGGUCUCUGGGCCGAUACUGACGCUGAGGAGCGAAAGCGUGGGGAGCGAACAGG
Molecule: ribosomal RNA, 254 nt
Filed under: uncultured bacterium
Lineage: Bacteria
Description: partial 16S ribosomal RNA
Rfam family: Bacterial small subunit ribosomal RNA
Source: RNAcentral